UACGUAGGGUGCAAGCGUUAUUCGGAAUUACUGGGCGUAAAGCGUGCGUAGGCGGUUCUCCAAGUCCGUUGUGAAAUCCCCGGGCUUAACCUGGGAAUGGCAGUGGAAACUAGGGGACUUGAAUUUGGCAGAGGGGGGUGGAAUUCCACGUGUAGCAGUGAAAUGCGUAGAGAUGUGGAGGAACACCGAUGGCGAAGGCAGCCCCCUGGGCUGAGAUUGACGCUGAGUGCACGAAAGCGUGGGGAGCAAACAGG
This 254-nucleotide ribosomal RNA is filed under the name uncultured bacterium. Its description in RNAcentral is "partial 16S ribosomal RNA". It matches the Rfam family "Bacterial small subunit ribosomal RNA", at positions 524 to 776 of the family's 1533-position model. The record is from RNAcentral.